Molecule: long non-coding RNA, 1181 nt
Filed under: Salmo salar (Atlantic salmon)
Lineage: Eukaryota; Metazoa; Chordata; Actinopteri; Salmoniformes; Salmonidae
Description: lncRNA (ENSSSAG00000088162.1, ENSSSAG00000115293.1)
Source: RNAcentral
AAAAUCCCCAACAAAACCCAUAAACAAUAACCCCUAAACAAUAAGGGAGGGAAGGGAGGGUGGCUGCCGUCACCGACGGCACUGUGCUACACCCUCCCUCCCCAACCCACCUAUCCUGGAGGUGGCUCCGGUGCAGGACGUGGACCCUGCUCCACCCUCGGCGUCGCCCACUUUGGUGGAGCCGAUAGCUGCACCAGGCAGACGGACCCCUCGAGCCGGGCCGGAGGACAGGAGGGCCCUUCGGGCUGGGCCGGGGAACAGGAGGGCCCCUCGGGCUGGGCCGGGGGGCAGGAGGGCCCCUCGGGCUGGGCCGGGGAGCAGGAGGGCCCCUCGGGCUGGGCCGGGGAGCAGGAGGGCCCCUCGGGCUGGGCCGGGGAGCAGGAGGACCCCUCGGGCUGGGCCGGGGAGCAGGAGGACCCCUCGGGCUGGGCCGGAGAGCAGGAGGGCCCCUCGGGCUGGGCCGGAGAGCAGGCGGGCCCCUCGGGCUGGGCCGGAAGGCAUGCGGACCACUCGGGCUGGGCCGGAAGGCAUGCGGACCACUCGGGCUGGGCCGGAAGGCAUGCGGGCCACUCGGGCUGGGCCGGAAGGCAUGCGGGCCACUCGGGCUGGGCCGGAAGGCAUGCGGGCCACUCGGGCUGGGCCGGAAGGCAUGCGGGCCACUCGGGCUGGGCCGGAGGGCAGGAGGACCACUCGGGCUGGACCGGAGGGCAGGAGGACCACUCGGGCUGGACCGGAGGGCAGGAGGACCACUCGGGCUGGACCGGAGGGCAGGAGGAACACUCGGGCUGGACCGGAGGGCAGGAGGACCACUCGGGCUGAUCCUGACAGGCCGGGCACCCUGGCAGAUCAGGGCAGGUGGGCACCUCUGGCAGAACCGGGCAGUCUGGCCACCCUGGCAGUUCAGGGCAGUCUGGCCACCCUGGCAGUUCAGGGCAGUCUGGCCACCCUGGCAGAACAGGGCAGUCCGGCCACUCUGGCAGAACAGGGCAGUCCGGCCACUCUGGCAGAACAGGGCAGUCCGGCCACUCUGGCAGAACAGGGCAGUCCGGCCACUCCGGCAGUUCAGGGCAGUCCGGCCACUCCGGCAGUUCAGGGCAGUCCGGCCACUCCGGCAGUUCAGGGCAGUCUGGCCACUCCGGCAGUUCAGGGCAGUCUGGCCACUCCGGCAGUUCAGGGCAGUC